Molecule: ribosomal RNA, 301 nt
Filed under: uncultured bacterium
Lineage: Bacteria
Description: partial 16S ribosomal RNA
Rfam family: Bacterial small subunit ribosomal RNA
Source: RNAcentral
CAGUCGCCACGGUAAUACGUAGGUGGCAAGCGUUGUCCGGAAUUAUUGGGCGUAAAGGGCUCGCAGGCGGUUUCUUAAGUCUGAUGUGAAAGCCCCCGGCUCAACCGGGGAGGGUCAUUGGAAACUGGGAAACUUGAGUGCAGAAGAGGAGAGUGGAAUUCCACGUGUAGCGGUGAAAUGCGUGGAGAUGUGGAGGAACACCAGUGGCGAAGGCGACUCUCUGGUCUGUAACUGACGCCGAGGAGCGAAAGCGUGGGGAGCGAACAGGAUUAGAUACCCGUGUAGUCCCUGUCUCUUAUAC